AGAAUCAACGCUGGCGGCGUGCCUAACACAUGCAAGUCGAACGAGAAGUGGAGCAAUCCAUGAGUAAAGUGGCGACCGGGUGAGUAACACGUGACUACCUACCCUUGAGUGGGGGAUAACCUCGGGAAAACCGAGGCUAAUACCGCAUAAUAUCGAAAGAUCAAAGGAGUAAUCCGCUUUUGGAGGGGUCGCGGCUGAUUAGCUAGUUGGUAGGGUAAUGGCCUACAAGGCGAAGAUCGGUA
This 242-nucleotide ribosomal RNA is filed under the name uncultured bacterium. RNAcentral describes it as "partial small subunit ribosomal RNA". It matches the Rfam family "Bacterial small subunit ribosomal RNA", at positions 26 to 285 of the family's 1533-position model. The record is from RNAcentral.